GGUUUUUUGGUAUUAUAUAAAAAAUCUAGCCUGCCCUAUGAUAAAUUAAAUGGCCGCGGUAAUUUGACCGUGCGAAGGUAGCAUAAUCAAUUGUCUAUUAAUUGUAGACUGGAAUGAAUGGUUGAACUUGAAAUUAGUUGUCUUUAUAUUAAGUUGAAUUUUGUAUUUUUAUGAAGAUUUAAAAAUGGAUUUAUUAGACGAGAAGACCCUAUUGAGCUUUAUAUUUAUUAUUUGUAUUUAAGAUUAGUGGUGUGUAUAGAUUAAAAUAUUUUGCUGGGGCGGUAUAUAAUAAUUAAAACAUUAUAAAAAAUUAUAUUUUAUUUAAGAAAUUUGAUCCAAUAAUAUUGAUUAAUAGAUUAAGUUACUGUAGGGAUAACAGCGUAAUAUUAUUUAGGAGUUCGUAUCUAUAAUAAAGAUUGCGACCUCGAUGUUGGUUUAGGAUUCCUUUAAAAAAAUUAAGUAUAUGGUGAAGAAAUUAUAAAAGGUAGUCUGUUCGACUAUUAAAUUCCUAUA
RNAcentral lists this ribosomal RNA (513 nucleotides) under Scolopocryptops spinicaudus. RNAcentral's name for it is "partial 16S ribosomal RNA". It matches the Rfam family "Bacterial large subunit ribosomal RNA", at positions 1829 to 2600 of the family's 2925-position model. Lineage: Eukaryota; Metazoa; Arthropoda; Chilopoda; Scolopendromorpha; Cryptopidae. The record is from RNAcentral.